RNAcentral lists this ribosomal RNA (900 nucleotides) under Mycobacterium sp. Ume61. Its description in RNAcentral is "bacterial SSU rRNA". It matches the Rfam family "Bacterial small subunit ribosomal RNA", at positions 60 to 973 of the family's 1533-position model. Lineage: Bacteria; Bacillati; Actinomycetota; Actinomycetes; Mycobacteriales; Mycobacteriaceae. The record is from RNAcentral.
AGUCGAACGGAAAGGCCCUUCGGGGUACUCGAGUGGCGAACGGGUGAGUAACACGUGGGUGAUCUGCCCUGCACUUUGGGAUAAGCCUGGGAAACUGGGUCUAAUACCGAAUACACCCUGCUGGUCGCAUGGCCUGGUGGGGGAAAGCUUUUGCGGUGUGGGAUGGGCCCGCGGCCUAUCAGCUUGUUGGUGGGGUGAUGGCCUACCAAGGCGACGACGGGUAGCCGGCCUGAGAGGGUGUCCGGCCACACUGGGACUGAGAUACGGCCCAGACUCCUACGGGAGGCAGCAGUGGGGAAUAUUGCACAAUGGGCGCAAGCCUGAUGCAGCGACGCCGCGUGGGGGAUGACGGCCUUCGGGUUGUAAACCUCUUUCAGCACAGACGAAGCGCAAGUGACGGUAUGUGCAGAAGAAGCACCGGCCAACUACGUGCCAGCAGCCGCGGUAAUACGUAGGGUGCGAGCGUUGUCCGGAAUUACUGGGCGUAAAGAGCUCGUAGGUGGUUUGUCGCGUUGUCCGUGAAAACUCACAACUCAAUUGUGGGCGUGCGGGCGAUACGGGCAGACUGGAGUACUGCAGGGGAGACUGGAAUUCCUGGUGUAGCGGUGGAAUGCGCAGAUAUCAGGAGGAACACCGGUGGCGAAGGCGGGUCUCUGGGCAGUAACUGACGCUGAGGAGCGAAAGCGUGGGGAGCGAACAGGAUUAGAUACCCUGGUAGUCCACGCCGUAAACGGUGGGUACUAGGUGUGGGUUUCCUUCCUUGGGAUCCGUGCCGUAGCUAACGCAUUAAGUACCCCGCCUGGGGAGUACGGCCGCAAGGCUAAAACUCAAAGGAAUUGACGGGGGCCCGCACAAGCGGCGGAGCAUGUGGAUUAAUUCGAUGCAACGCGAAGAACCUUA